UUUUUUUUUUUUUAGGUUUUUUAAUAUCCAGAGGUAGCAAUAUUAGGUUUUGGUAUUCUAGUACAUAUUUUUUUGUGCAUUAAAGAAGUAAUGUUUUGUUAGAAUAAUACCAUUAUUUUGGCACUAAAAACCUGAAACUUGGAUCAUUCACAUUUUAAGGCAUACCCAGGAUGAACCUUUUAAAAUCAAAUAAAGUUUAGAAAAUGUUUUUCUCUGCUUGCAUAACCAUCAUAAGGAGGAAGAAAUAUGCUAAUCACCAAAACAAAAAAUUUCUUUUGCAACAAAAUGUGUGCAAUCAUAGUCCACUUCAAAGAUUUAUAAACUAGUGGACGGUGUGACCACAUUAAAAUUAUACAAAUAACUCUGCAUCAGAGUCUCUAAUAUGAUAACUGAUGACUACAAAGUUAAACUAGAAAUGCUUUUUCUUGAAAUUAAAUUAUAUCUUGCUAUUAAUCAAAUGCUACAGUAGUAGUAUAGCUGUUUUGAUAUUAAAUAAAAUAGUGAUUUAUGGUACUAUUAUUUUCUCUGAAUUAUAACCAAUACAUGUGCUGACCAGUUGUGGCUCAUUUGAAUGAAUGGAUACAUCAUGUAAAAGUGAGAUUUAUUAGGAUGACGUUAGUCGUGUGAAUUUUUUUCCAUCUUUUCCUGCUGAUGAUUAUAUAUAUGUCAGAUGUUCACUUCUUUAAUGAGUUCACAUACUUUCACCUAAGUGGCUUAUUCUAGAUAAGUAUUCUGGUUGGCUUUCCUAAACCUUGAAUGAAAUUUUGCAAUUUCUAUUUCCCUAGACAUGUUUUCCUACCAUCUAUCUGAAUAACUGAAAUACAUAUAAAGUGUGUUUUUGUAUGGAUGUGCUUUCAAUAUCCAGCAAUCCAUUUUCUUUUUGAAAUUCACACAAAAUUGUGUCAUUUUUUUCAAAGUCCUUUACUAGGUAUUUCAGGUUGUGAGAAUGGUACAUGGUAUCAAACCCUACUAAUUUGCUUCAUGAAAAUGACAUGUAUAUGAUAAAGCAUACUACCUAAAAGAUAGUCAUUAUUAGGGAGAGAAUGCAGUUGCAUUUGUGGAAAAAAGGGGCUAAAUCUUGGAGUACACAGAUUCUAGAUUUUCUGACUGCCAAUCAGCUGCUCAGCUGAGCUGCUCUGUACUUCAGCCUUUGUCUUUGAACUACAGAGCUCACUCAUGACAGCUUUAGACCAACUCCAGGGAUGACUGUUAGCACUUGCUAGAAGAGAAUAGACUCUUUGAUAUUUUUGAGUGGAUUUUGGUGCUUAUGAAUACUCCAUUCUACUUUCAUUGUGAUUACUACAUUUUGUAAUUUACUUUAUACAUCUGCAAUACAUUAGUUAUUUUGCUUAAAAAUGUUAGCAUUGUUUAUAGCUGAAAUAGAAAAACUAAGGUCCAAAUAAACAGCUCUUAUUAAGUAGAGUAUAUAAAGCAACUACCACUGUGAUUUUUUUUUUCAAAUAUGAAAAUCUCAAAGGGUUGCCUCCAAAUUUUCAGAGCAAAAAGUGAUACUGAGCAAAAAUUAGCAAAGCACAAAAAAUGUAAUCUUAACAGCAUAUGAAAAUUGCAUUACAUUUAAUAGGAGUGUUUCAAUAGAGGCUGUCUAAUAAAUCAGGCUAAACUCUCAGUUAGCAUUAAAUAUUUUAUAUACGCAAAUGAAACACAUCUGAGGCUAAUUUGACAUCAACAUCAUCAAUAAGGAAACAGUCAAUAGAUACAAUUAUUUAACAUUUGCAGUGAUAUUGUAGGGGUAAACUUCUUCAUCAUAGGUUUUUUAAAUUGCCUUCUUUAACCCCAUCAAUGACAUUAAAAUAAUCAUUUAUAAUUGAGCAAUAGGAAAGUACUAGACCACCUAUAACUCAAAGAGAGGUUAUGCCUCCUGGGAAUAAGUCCAUUGUAGUGUUGACACUGAGUCUAUAUAAGAGACUUAAAUACUGCACAUUGAUGAUGGUCUUCUUAGGGAAAAAGUGGGCCCCUGUCUUAUGAAAGGCAGAGGUCAAUUGUGGCUAUUUUCACAGAUUAAUAUAAAGAUAUUUUCACUUCUUCAAAUGAUCUUAAAAUGUUCUACAGGAAAAAGCCACUUUAUGGAUCUAAAAUUACCCAUAAGUGUCUAAACUAUUGCUGAGCUGCUAUGGGGGAAAAAGGUUUUGAGGUUUGGAAUUAAAACCUUUCUGGCUCUGCCAAUUGCUCAGUAUGUGACCUUGGAAGAAAGACCUUGAGGAUGGCAUGAGAAGCACCCAGUUAUGCUGAUGCUCUGAAGGAUCACAGGUGGUAUCUUUGGACGAGUCAGGGCAGGAGGCAGCCAUACUUCCCCUUGUAGAUGAUCAUGGCGUUGAGGGAAAACAAAACUCCUUCUCCUCUCCAGUUGGCAUUGAGGCUUCUACUUGGGGAGCACUGACCUAAUAUACAAAGCUUGGGCAUUUGUUUUGUCAUGGUUAAAACAGGGCUUGCACUUGUAAAUCUCUGAGGUCUCUUUCAGUUCUAAAACUUGAUAACAGCCAUUCUCAUACAUCAGAAUUCAGUCUUUUCUUGGCAUUGGGUCUUUCUACAGACUCUGAGAGCAGACACCAGGUACCAUUAGUGAGUCUUUCUUCCAUGGAGAGGCACUGAUUUCUCUUGGGUGUCUGUUCUUACGGAGACUCGGUGUAGUUCUCUCCAUUCUUUUGCCCGUGGAAUGCUCUCAUCUUGUGUACUUGGAUAUGUUGUAAAUACAUCAUCCUUUGCACGUUUCUUCAAGGUCAUCUGCUAGUAUUCCCAGGAGCAAAUAUUUCAUUUAUAAUAUAUCUGCUUUAAAUUAUUUUUGUAACAAGGUUACAAUAUGUACAUUUUAAAGGUACAAACAUAAGAUGAGUUUUGACCGUAAAGAAAGGAUGAAGGGCUAUAUGAACAGGUGUUAGGUGAAUUGGGGUAUUUUUAAAAGCUUUUAUGUAUUAUAGGCGAGUUCCAAUUUUAUGAGACAUUGCAGAAGUAAAAAUGUCUAUAGGUUCCUUUUCACUGAAAGAAUACAACCUUUUAAAAAUAAUACUUUUAGUGGAGAACGUAAGGUUCAGGUUUGAAGAGGAUAUGUGUAACUAGGAUUAGGAACCAUGCUAAUUUCCAAGGUACUCCAUGAAGGGAAUAUUCUGAAAUCCUAUGUUCAUUGAACUCUACUCUGUGGGAAAUAACCACAGGGAACUAGGGUAUAGAUGAUGGGGGGGUGUAGAAGUUGGUAAAAAUGACUAAGACACUAGCCUUGGCCCCAAGGAGCUUACAGUCCAGCUGGAUGUAUGCAGAAUAAGAAAAUUUUGGGGAUCCUUUUCUGGCUUGGUGGGUUAAGAACCCGACAUAGUGUCCAUGAGGAUGCGGACUGAUCCCUGGCCUCGCUCAGUGGAUUAAGGAUCUGGUGUUACUGCAAGGUGCAGCAUAGGUCUCAGAUGUAGCUUGGAUCCUGUGUUGCUGUGGCUGUGGUAUAGCCUUCAGCUGCAGCGCCAAUUCAACCAGGCCUUAAAAAAAAAAAAAAAAAAAAAGAGCCAAUUUUGAGAAUCUCUACUGGAAUAUGAUUUGACAGUUGUUUGGGGAUAUUUCCUUCUUUUUUGCUUUGUAACCAUUUUAUUUAGCACAUAGAAUUCUAGUGGCAAUUUUUAGAAUGCAAAUUUGAUGUAAGACAUAAUGCCAAAAGAAUGACUUUAAAAAUAAAUGGACUUUGGAGUAACUAGAAGUUAUUAAUGAUAUACAUUUAAAGGGUAUAGAAAUAGACAUGCAGGAAAUAAACUGCUUUUUAAGAAUUGUUGCUGUAAUCAUUAUUUUCUCUUAGAAAUCUUACCAUUGGAAAGUAGAAUAUUCUUAGAUUGUUGAUGACAAAGUAUUACAGAGAUCAUUUAAGAGUUUCCUCUUAGCCAUUUGGUAUUUGUUGUCCUACAGGGUAGAGAGGGGCAGGGAACAAACUCUUAGGUCUAGUUUUGGGAAGCAUGGAAUACUGAAGGGAGCUAAACUAUGAUUCACAAGCCCUGGGUUUUAGACCUACCUCUCCUAGUUAUUUGCCCUUUGUUCUUAAUGUCUCUGAGCCUUGUUUUCUUCUUUGAUAAAAAUGGAAUUAUUAAUCCUGACUUUCUCUAUGUCAUCACAUUACUAUCAGGUUAAAAUGAAAUAUACAAUUGAAAGUUCUCUGAAAGCUUGUGAAAUACUCCAUAGAUGCAAAGAAUUAUGAUAAAGAAAUAGUAACGUGCCAAUUUUUCCAGGCAUUUUGCCUCUCCUUUUAAAAAAAAUAAUAUAUCUUUAAUCUAUGAAUUUAUCUUUUGGAAUGGUAAACCAGUAUUUUUUUGAGCCUGAUGCUCUCUGGUUUCUAGUUGUAUUCUAGAAGAUGCUUGUGUACAAGCAAUUCAAGCAUCAAGGUUAUUAUAAAACAGGUAUAGCUAGACCUAAAGAUAUGACAUGAGGGAAGCCCUACCAUGUGGAAAGGGGAAAAUUUCAUCCCUUAUAUCCUUAGAGGAAUGUGGGAAGAACAGAGGAAGGUGAGGUAGGAUAAGAAAAUCAUGUGGUAAAGUCUUCAUUAUCACUAAUCUUGAGGGAGGGCAGAGAGCUGCUGCAGAACUACUUAGAAAGACAUGAGAAAAUUGGAGAACACCAGAACUAAUGGUUCAGUUUCCCAAGCUUUCUUCUCAGUGCCAUGUGUGAUGUGACUUUGACAAAUAGAGCUACUGCUCUGGCAGAGGGAGGAGUUGGGAUGAGAGUUUUUUUUUUUUUUUUUUUUUUUUUUUUUUUUUUUAGCUUUAUUUUUUUUUAUUACUCAAAUGAAUUUAUCACAUCUAUAGUUGUAUAAUGAUCAUAACAAUCCAAUUUCACAGGUUUUCCAUCCCACAACCCAAGCACAUCCCCCCACCCCCCGAAUUGUCUCCUCUGGAGACCAUAAGUUUUUCAAUGUCUGUGAGUCAGCAUCUGUUCUGCAAAAAAGUUCAGUCUGUCCUUUUUUUCAGAUUCCACAAGUCAGUGAAAGCAUUUGAUGUUGGCGUCUCAUUGUAUGGCUGACUUCACUUAGCAUGAUAAUUUCUAGGUCCAUGUUGCUAAAAAUGCUGGUAUUUCGUUCCUUUUAAUGGCUAAUAUUCCAUUGUGUAUAUGUACCACAUCUUCUUGAUCCACUCCUCUGUCAAUGGACAUUUAGGUUGUUUCCAUGUUUUGGCUAUUGAAAAGAGUGCCACAGUGAACACUGGAGUACAUGUCUUUGCAAGUCAUGGUUUUCUCUGGAUAGAUGCCCAGGAGUGGGAGUGCUGGAUCAAAUGGUAGUUCUAUUUUUAGUUUUCUGAGGAAUCUCCAUACUGUUUUCCACAAAUUUAUAAUCCCACCAACAGUGAAAUAAGAAGAGGUAGUGGCUUACUCAGCAGUUAUCAGCAAUGAGUGCCAUCCUAUGCUGAAAGUCCCAGGAGAACUGGUACUGCAUCUAGGAUUUCAGGGAUGGCUAGGGCUCCUGCAUAGACCCAGGAGGGAAAGAAACAUUGCAGUUUGAGGACACUGCACAGCAUCUUUGGCCUUCUUUGGUCUCUAUCAUGAGAACACAUGACAUCCUUGCUCUUGAUAUGGGUUCCACAGAAGAUGGAAGAGAAACAUACAAAUGUUUAUUCAUCCAAAAAUACUUUCCAAAGGAGGUAAUUUAAAUUAGAAAAUAGAGAAAAUUAAUGGGCAUGUUUUAUAUUUCUUACCACCUCCUCAUCUUACUUCCAUCUAACAGGGCAGAGGCUUUUGAGGAAGAUAAAUCUGUAACAGGAAAAAGAAAUCUACAUACUUUGAGAAGAUAUAUUUCUCCUCUAUAUUCAUAUUUGUUUCAUUACAUACCAUUUCUUGAGGUUUUACAUUGUCAGUUGCUCCUUUUUGUUUUUUCCCCACAGAUGUUCACAGAUGUUUUGCCUUUUCCAGAGCGUCAUAUAGUUGGAAUCAUACAGUGUAGACAUUACUUCUUAAUGAAAGUUUAUCUAGCCUUUAUUAUAUAUGCCACUGUUUUAAGUGCUUUACAAAUGGUAAUUAAUUUAAUCCUCAUAAUAGCCUAUUGAAUACCUCUAUGGUACCCAUUUUUUCAGGUGAGAAAACUGAGGCACAGAAAAGAAAGUUUGC
RNAcentral lists this long non-coding RNA (6081 nucleotides) under Sus scrofa (pig). RNAcentral describes it as "lncRNA (ENSSSCG00000063259.1)". The record is from RNAcentral. Lineage: Eukaryota; Metazoa; Chordata; Mammalia; Artiodactyla; Suidae.